Long non-coding RNA from Anolis carolinensis (green anole), 1258 nucleotides. RefSeq lists it as uncharacterized. The transcript has 6 exons. NCBI's taxonomy places the organism in Eukaryota, Metazoa, Chordata, Lepidosauria, Squamata, Anolidae. The record is from RefSeq and is a predicted model, not a curated record.
UGGGGGAUGGAACAGAAACUGAGAUUUUCCAUGGCCAAAACUGGUGCUCUGGCUUUAAAAUGAGCUCAUGUUGCUACAUGCAUUUUGUUAUCAUUUCCUUUCACAGGGAAUAGGAUUGGCACCUGUGUAUCCUCAGAAUAAAAUUGCACCCUAUGCACUGAACUCACAUUUGAUUAGGAAAUAAGGCCCUGCACCUGGUGGAACAUGAAUUUGUCCUCAGACCAUCUUUGCAGAAUUGCUUUCUUGACUGCCUGGAACUGAGGGUUAUCCAGUGGCUCUCUUAAUUUCAUGGAGCUUGGUUGGUGAAAUUGAAAGUCAGUGUAACAUAUUGAUGGAUUCGGUGCCAGAGUCCUUUUCUUCGGGUCCAUUGCUGUUGGAUGUAUAACCUCUGUAGCAGAAGCUGUAUAUGUGUGAGUGCCAACUGCUGGAGACAGACAACCAGACAACCUAACAUUCGUGGAGAUGCUAGAAACACUUGGGUGCUCACUGGUGAAGAUGGGAUGGUAGACACAAUUGUCCCUUGCUCCAGUUCAUCAAGGUCACAGUCCAGUUUAUUGACCUGAUUGUGAUCAUGAGGAAAAUGAAUAUGCCGGCAGAGAAGGAACAGUAAGCCAUUUAACCCAGCCCCAUGUAACCAAGAAAGCAGAAGACAAGUUCAUUAAGAAGUAGCAAGUGGCCUCCAGAAGGUGGCAAUGUUUGAUACUGAAGACACUCUUGCUUUGACAGUUUUUAGCGUGUAACAUUUUGUUAAAGUGAUGUAUAAAGUUUCUGUGAGCUUGCUGACAGGAGGCUUGGGAUCUUGUGAAAUCUUCCUCUUUGAGCUGGUAUCUGUAGACUUCUGAGAGCUGAGAACUGAGAGAUUGGUUUGAAAAGGAGAGCCCAGCAAUAUACAGGAUGUGUAUCUGAUACAAUGGAUCCCACUCCCUUUUAUGGCCAUCAAAGCUAUUGCACCGCUUUUAAUGCCUUACACAGAUCUGGAAAGAAAAUGUUGUGCUUUGGAAUGAAAGAAUUGCUAGUUAGCAUGCGCUACUCCUACUGAUACUCCUUGCCAAAUGCAAGAGUUAUUUAUAGCAGUCAAAUGUGCAAAACAUGUUUGAAAGAAAUAGAGUGGAAAAUGUGACAUGCCUAACCCAUCUUUGUGGGUAGACGUGGCUUUUUGUUUUCUUUUUCUUUUUUCCCCUUCCAGGUUUGCUCUCAUUUGCAUCCUCUUAUGGAGUUCGAGGCUCCUUUGAAUUAAAGAUGUCUUACUUCGUUUAAA